Molecule: ribosomal RNA, 198 nt
Filed under: uncultured bacterium
Lineage: Bacteria
Description: partial 16S ribosomal RNA
Rfam family: Bacterial small subunit ribosomal RNA
Source: RNAcentral
ACGCUCGACACCUACGGUAGGCAGCAGUGGGGAAUAUUGCACAAUGGGGGAAACCCUGAUGCAGCGACGCCGCGUGAGCGAAGAAGUAUUUCGGUAUGUAAAGCUCUAUCAGCAGGGAAGAAACUGACGGUACCUGACUAAGAAGCACCGGCUAAAUACGUGCCAGCAGCCGCGGUAAUCUGAGCGGGCUGGCAAGGC